RNAcentral lists this ribosomal RNA (898 nucleotides) under uncultured archaeon. RNAcentral's name for it is "SSU rRNA". It matches the Rfam family "Archaeal small subunit ribosomal RNA", at positions 455 to 1354 of the family's 1478-position model. The record is from RNAcentral.
GUGCCAGCCGCCGCGGUAAUACCAGCUCCGCGAGUGGUCGGGGUGCUUACUGGGCCUAAAGCGCCCGUAGCCGGCCCGGUAAGUCGUCCCUGAAAUCCACGGGCUCAACCCGUGGGCUGGGGACGAUACUGCCGGGCUUGGGGGCGGGAGAGGCCGAGGGUACUCCCGGGGUAGGGGCGAAAUCCGAUAAUCCCGGGAGGACCACCAGUGGCGAAGGCGCUCGGCUGGAACGCGCCCGACGGUGAGGGGCGAAAGCUGGGGGAGCAAAGGGGAUUAGAUACCCCUGUAGUCCCAGCUGUAAACGAUGCGGGCUAGCUGUUGGGCGGGCUUAGAGCCCGCCCAGUGGCGGAGGGAAGCCGUUAAGCCCGCCGCCUGGGGAGUACGGCCGCUAGGCUGAAACUUAAAGGAAUUGGCGGGGGGGCACCACAAGGGGUGAAGCUUGCGGCUUAAUUGGAGUCAACGCCGGAAACCUUACCCGGGGCGACAGCAGGAUGAUGGCCAGGCUAACGACCUUGCCGGACGUGCUGAGAGGAGGUGCAUGGCCGUUGUCAGCUCGUGCCGUGAGGUGUCCGGUUAAGUCCGGCAACGAGCGAGACCCCCACCCCUAGUUGCUAACCCUGGCCUCCGGGCCAGGGGCACACUAGGGGGACUGCCGGCGUAAGCCGGAGGAAGGAGGGGGCCACGGCAGGUCAGUAUGCCCCGAAACCCCGGGGCUGCACGCGAGCUGCAAUGGCGGGGACAGCGGGAUCCGUCCCCGAAAGGGGGAGGUAAUCCCGUAAACCCCGCCCCAGUAGGGAUCGAGGGCUGUAACUCGCCCUCGUGAACGUGGAAUCCCUAGUAACCGCGUGUCACCAACGCGCGGUGAAUACGUCCCUGCCCCUUGCACACACCGCCCGUC